This 625-nucleotide ribosomal RNA is filed under the name uncultured Basidiomycota. RNAcentral describes it as "LSU rRNA". It matches the Rfam family "Eukaryotic large subunit ribosomal RNA", at positions 1 to 635 of the family's 3401-position model. Lineage: Eukaryota; Fungi; Basidiomycota. The record is from RNAcentral.
CCUCGAAUCAGGUGGGACUACCCGCUGAACUUAAGCAUAUCAAUAAGCGGAGGAAAAGAAACUAACAAGGAUUCCCCUAGUAACGGCGAGUGAAGCGGGAUGAGCUCAAAUUUAAAAUCUGAUAGUCUUUGGCUGUCCGAGUUGUAAUCUAGAGAAGUGUUUUCCGCGUUGGACCAUGUACAAGUUUCCUGGAACGGAACGUCAUAGAGGGUGAGAAUCCCGUCCUUGACAUGGACUACCGGUGCUUUGUGAUACACUCUCAACGAGUCGAGUUGUUUGGGAUUGCAGCUCAAAAUGGGAGGUAAAUUCCUUCUAAAGCUAAAUAUUGGCGAGAGACCGAUAGCGAACAAGUACCGUGAGGGAAAGAUGAAAAGCACUUUGGAAAGAGAGUUAAACAGUACGUGAAAUUGUUAAAAGGGAAACGAUUGAAGUCAGUCGCGUUUACUUGGACUCAGCCUUACCUCGGUUUGGUGCAUUUCCUUGUGAACGGGCCAGCGUCAAUGUUGUCCGUUGGAAAAGGGUUGGAGAAAUGUGGCUCUUUCGGGAGUGUUAUAGUCUCUGAUCGUAUACAACGGCUGAUAUUGAGUGGUACAGCAUGCUUCGGCGGUGCUUGUGCUGGCAUAAU